GUCCUAGCUGUAAACGGUGCACGUUUGCUGUAAGAGGAUUCGACCCCUCUUGUGGCGAAGCUAACGCGUUAAACGUGCCGCCUGGGAAGUACGGUCGCAAGAUUAAAACUCAAAGAAAUUGACGGGGCCUGCACAAGCGGUGGAGUAUGUGGCUUAAUUCGAUGCAACGCGAAGAACCUUACCUGGCCUUGACAUGCAAGUAGUAGAAGGGUGAAAGCCUGACGAGGUAGCAAUACCAGCUUGCACAGGUGCUGCAUGGCUGUCGU
This 266-nucleotide ribosomal RNA is filed under the name uncultured bacterium. Its description in RNAcentral is "partial 16S ribosomal RNA". It matches the Rfam family "Bacterial small subunit ribosomal RNA", at positions 793 to 1055 of the family's 1533-position model. The record is from RNAcentral.